GAUGAAGAACGUAGCGAAAUGCGAUAAGUAGUGUGAAUUGCAGAAUUCCGUGAAUCAUCGAAUCUUUGAACGCACAUUGCGCCUUCUGGUAUUCCGGAAGGCAUGCCUGUUCGAGAGUCAUUAACAACCGUUUCGAUCCCUUUCUUUCAGAAAUUACAAAGAGGAAAAGGGUUUGGUUAUGGUGGAGGAGGGAAAGGGAGCGUUUAGCCUGAAAAAAAAGAGGCUGUGUUCCGCCUCCCCCCCAAAAUUGUACAGGCGGUCGUGUGCGCCCACGCAUCGAGGUGUUGUAAAAGCUGCCACGGCACUUUUCACCUGUGCAGUGCGAGAUUGGCCAGCCGGUUUAAAAACCCCUCCAAACAAUCAAAGGUUGACCUCGGAUCAGGUAGGGAUACCCGCUGAACUUAAGCAUAUCAAUAAGCGGAGGA
RNAcentral lists this unclassified non-coding RNA (425 nucleotides) under soil metagenome. RNAcentral describes it as "partial contains 5.8S ribosomal RNA, internal transcribed spacer 2, and large subunit ribosomal RNA". The stretch from base 1 to 120 matches the Rfam family "5.8S ribosomal RNA", at positions 35 to 154 of the family's 154-position model. The record is from RNAcentral.